This 544-nucleotide ribosomal RNA is filed under the name uncultured bacterium. Its description in RNAcentral is "bacterial SSU rRNA". It matches the Rfam family "Bacterial small subunit ribosomal RNA", at positions 777 to 1314 of the family's 1533-position model. The record is from RNAcentral.
AAUAGAUACCCCGGUAGUCCACGCCGUAAACGGUGGGCACUAGGUGUGGGCGACAUUCCACGUCGUCCGUGCCGCAGCUAACGCAUUAAGUGCCCCGCCUGGGGAGUACGGCCGCAAGGCUAAAACUCAAAGGAAUUGACGGGGGCCCGCACAAGCGGCGGAGCAUGUGGCUUAAUUCGACGCAACGCGAAGAACCUUACCAAGGCUUGACAUACACCGGAAACGUCCAGAGAUGGGCGCCCCCUUGUGGUCGGUGUACAGGUGGUGCAUGGCUGUCGUCAGCUCGUGUCGUGGGAUGUUGGGUUAAGUCCCGCAACGAGCGCAACCCUUGUCCCGUGUUGCCAGCAGGCCCUUGUGGUGCUGGGGACUCACGGGAGACCGCCGGGGUCAACUCGGAGGAAGGUGGGGACGACGUCAAGUCAUCAUGCCCCUUAUGUCUUGGGCUGCACACGUGCUACAAUGGCCGGUACAAUGAGCUGCGAUACCGCGAGGUGGAGCGAAUCUCAAAAAGCCGGUCUCAGUUCGGAUUGGGGUCUGCAACUCG